RNAcentral lists this ribosomal RNA (315 nucleotides) under Bacillus anthracis (anthrax bacterium). RNAcentral's name for it is "bacterial SSU rRNA". It matches the Rfam family "Bacterial small subunit ribosomal RNA", at positions 89 to 397 of the family's 1533-position model. The record is from RNAcentral. Lineage: Bacteria; Bacillati; Bacillota; Bacilli; Caryophanales; Bacillaceae.
AAGUUAGCGGCGGACGGGUGAGUAACACGUGGGUAACCUGCCCAUAAGACUGGGAUAACUCCGGGAAACCGGGGCUAAUACCGGAUAACAUUUUGAACCGCAUGGUUCGAAAUUGAAAGGUGGCUUCGGCUGCCACUUAUGGAUGGACCCGCGUCGCAUUAGCUAGUUGGUGAGGUAACGGCUCACCAAGGCAAUGAUGCGUAGCCGACCUGAGAGGGUGAUCGGCCACACUGGGACUGAGACACGGCCCAGACUCCUACGGGAGGCAGCAGUAGGGAAUCUUCCGCAAUGGACGAAAGUCUGACGGAGCAACGC